CAAUAGCGUAUAUUAAAGUUGUUGCGGUUAAAAAGCUCGUAGUUGGAUUUCUGCUGAGAACGACCGGUCCGCCCUUUGGGUGUGUAUCUGGCUCUUUCUUGGCAUCUUCUUGGUGAACGUUGCUGCACUUGACUGUGUGGAGCGCUACCCAGGACUUUUACUUUGAGGAAAUUAGAGUGUUUCAAGCAGGCAUACGCCUUGAAUACAUUAGCAUGGAAUAAUAAGAUAGGACCUCGGUUCUAUUUUGUUGGUUUCUAGAGCUGAGGUAAUGAUUAAUAGGGAUAGUUGGGGGCAUUCGUAUUUAACUGUCAGAGGUGAAAUUCUUGGAUUUGUUAAAGACGGACGACUGCGAAAGCAUUUGCCAAGGAUGUUUUCAUUGA
RNAcentral lists this ribosomal RNA (380 nucleotides) under uncultured eukaryote. RNAcentral describes it as "partial 18S ribosomal RNA". It matches the Rfam family "Eukaryotic small subunit ribosomal RNA", at positions 592 to 976 of the family's 1831-position model. The record is from RNAcentral.